UACGAAGGGGGCUAGCGUUGUUCGGAUUAACUGGGCGUAAAGCGCGCGUAGGCGGGUUUUUAAGUCAGGGGUGAAAUCCUGGAGCUCAACUCCAGAACUGCCUUCGAUACUGGCGAUCUUGAGUCCGGAAGAGGUGAGUGGAACUCCUAGUGUAGAGGUGGAAUUCGUAGAUAUUAGGAAGAACACCAGUGGCGAAGGCGGCUCACUGGUCCGGUACUGACGCUGAGGUGCGAAAGGCGUGGGGAGCAAACAGG
This 254-nucleotide ribosomal RNA is filed under the name uncultured bacterium. Its description in RNAcentral is "partial 16S ribosomal RNA". It matches the Rfam family "Bacterial small subunit ribosomal RNA", at positions 524 to 776 of the family's 1533-position model. The record is from RNAcentral.